Molecule: ribosomal RNA, 161 nt
Filed under: Enterococcus faecium
Lineage: Bacteria; Bacillati; Bacillota; Bacilli; Lactobacillales; Enterococcaceae
Description: partial 23S ribosomal RNA
Rfam family: Bacterial large subunit ribosomal RNA
Source: RNAcentral
GGUCAAGCGAAUAAGCGCACACGGUGGAUGCCUUGGCGGUCAGAGGCGAUGAAGGACGUGGCAGCCUGCGAAAAGUAUCGGGGAGCUGGCAACAAGCUUUGAUCCGGUAAUGUCCGAAUGGGGAAACCCACCCGCUUGCGGGUAUCCUGCAGUGAAUACAU